This 317-nucleotide unclassified non-coding RNA is filed under the name uncultured Crepidotus. RNAcentral describes it as "sequence contains ITS2". The stretch from base 1 to 52 matches the Rfam family "5.8S ribosomal RNA", at positions 103 to 154 of the family's 154-position model. Lineage: Eukaryota; Fungi; Basidiomycota; Agaricomycetes; Agaricales; Crepidotaceae. The record is from RNAcentral.
AACGCAACUUGCGCUCCUUGGUAUUCCGAGGAGCAUGCCUGUUUGAGUGUCAUUAAAUUCUCAACCUUUAUCAGCUUUGCUGUUAUAGGCUUGGAUGUGGAGGUUUUUGCAGGCCUUUAAAGGUCAGCUCCUCUGAAAUACAUUAGUGGUGUCCCCUUCAUGGUUAAAUGACUAUUGGUGUGAUAAACUAUCUACGCUUAUGGGCAACUGUGUUCACUUGAAUGUGAAAAGGGAUUUGGCUGCUUCUAACGGUCUGAAAGGACAAUAAUAAAUGACUAUUUGACCUCAAAUCAGGUAGGACUACCCGCUGAACUUAA